Molecule: ribosomal RNA, 465 nt
Filed under: uncultured bacterium
Lineage: Bacteria
Description: partial 16S ribosomal RNA
Rfam family: Bacterial small subunit ribosomal RNA
Source: RNAcentral
GAUGAACGCUGGCGGCGUGCUUAACACAUGCAAGUCGAACGAUCCUGCUCCGCUUUUUUGUUGGAUUAGUGUCGAUCGGGUGCGGAACACUUAAGUAACCUUCCCCUGCCUCUGGGAUAAGCGCUGGAGACGGCGUCUAAUACCAGUUCCUGGCUUUCUCCGCAUGUUGCGUUGCUGGAAAUAAUUUCGUUCAAGGAUGGUUUCGCGGCCUAUCAGGUAGUUGGUGCGGUGACGGCUCACCAAGCCGACGACGGGUAGCCGGCCUGAGAGGGUGACCGGCCACACUGGGACUGAGACACGGCCCAGACUCCUACGGGAGGCAGCAGUGGGGAAUAUUGCACAAUGGGCGCAAGCCGGAUGCAGCAACGCCGCGUGAGGACGAAGGCCUUCGGGUCGUAAACCUCUUUUAGCAGGGAAGAAGCGAAAGUGACGGUACCUGCAGAAAAAGCACCGGCUAAAUAAGUG